CGGUGCCUCUGGAGCAAGCGUGGGGCGCGGGAACCCGAGCAGGACUCUCCAGUCCUCAGUCACCUUGGACAAAGAAGUGUGGAUCCUCAGAUUCCAUCUUUUCCAACUCCAAGGUGCCAUGGCAGAGAAGGUGCUGGUAACAGGUGGGGCUGGCUACAUUGGCAGCCACACGGUGCUGGAGCUGCUGGAGGCUGGCUACUUGCCUGUGGUCAUCGAUAACUUCCAUAAUGCCUUCCGUGGAGGGGGCUCCCUGCCUGAGAGCCUGCGGCGGGUCCAGGAGCUGACAGGCCGCUCUGUGGAGUUUGAGGAGAUGGACAUUUUGGACCAGGGAGCCCUACAGCGUCUCUUCAAAAAGCACAGCUUUAUGGCGGUCAUCCACUUUGCGGGGCUCAAGGCCGUGGGCGAGUCGGUGCAGAAGCCUCUGGAUUAUUACAGAGUUAACCUGACCGGGACCAUCCAGCUUCUGGAGAUCAUGAAGGCCCACGGGGUGAAGAACCUGGUGUUCAGCAGCUCAGCCACUGUGUACGGGAACCCCCAGUACCUGCCCCUGGACGAGGCCCACCCCACGGGUGGUUGUACCAACCCUUACGGCAAGUCCAAGUUCUUCAUCGAGGAAAUGAUCCGGGACCUGUGCCAGGCAGACAAGACUUGGAACGCAGUGCUGCUGCGCUAUUUCAACCCCACAGGUGCCCAUGCCUCUGGCUGCAUUGGUGAGGAUCCCCAGGGCAUACCCAACAACCUCAUGCCUUAUGUCUCCCAGGUGGCGAUCGGGCGACGGGAGGCCCUGAAUGUCUUUGGCAAUGACUAUGACACAGAGGAUGGCACAGGUGUCCGGGAUUACAUCCAUGUCGUGGAUCUGGCCAAGGGCCACAUUGCAGCCUUAAGGAAGCUGAAAGAACAGUGUGGCUGCCGGGUAGGAAGAGAAGGGAGAAGUGAGGGAGGGGAGUGACCAGAUCCAGGCAGAGCGGCCCAGAGGGGUGGUCAGUCCAGCCCGCUCCAUAAACCCUGUUCUCCGCGGGCCAGAUCUACAACCUGGGCACGGGCACAGGCUAUUCAGUGCUGCAGAUGGUCCAGGCUAUGGAGAAGGCCUCUGGGAAGAAGAUCCCGUACAAGGUGGUGGCACGGCGGGAAGGUGAUGUGGCAGCCUGUUACGCCAACCCCAGCCUGGCCCAAGAGGAGCUGGGGUGGACAGCAGCCUUAGGGCUGGACAGGAUGUGUGAGGAUCUCUGGCGCUGGCAGAAGCAGAAUCCUUCAGGCUUUGGCACGCAAGCCUGAGGACCCUCCCCUACCAAGGACCAGGAAAAGCAGCAGCUGCCUGCUCUCCAGCCUCUGGCAGGAACUCAGGGCCCUGGAGCUGCUGGGGCCAAGCCAAGGCCUCCCCUACCUCAAACCCCAGCUGGGCCCGCUCAGCCCACCAGGCAUGAGGCCAAGGGCUCCACUGACCAGGAGGCCGAGGUCUCUAACUCUUAUCUUCCACAGGGUCCAAGAGUUCAUCAGGACCCCCAAGAGUGAGUGAGGGGGCAAGGCUCUGGCACAAAACCUCCUCCUCCCAGGCACUCAUUU
RNAcentral lists this small RNA (1563 nucleotides) under Pan troglodytes (chimpanzee). Its description in RNAcentral is "processed transcript". Lineage: Eukaryota; Metazoa; Chordata; Mammalia; Primates; Hominidae. The record is from RNAcentral.